CAACGCGAAGAGCCUUGCCAGGUCUUGACAUCCCGAUGCUAUUUCUAGAGAUAGAAAGUUACUUCGGUACAUCGGUGACAGGUGGUGCAUGGUUGUCGUCAGCUCGUGUCGUGAGAUGUUGGGUUAAGUCCCGCAACGAGCGCAACCCCUAUUGUUAGUUGCCAUCAUUCAGUUGGGCACUCUAGCGAGACUGCCGGUAAUAAACCGGAGGAAGGUGGGGAUGACGUCAAGUCCUCAUGGCCUUUAUGUCUAGGGCUACACACGUACUACAAUGGCCGGUACAAAGGGCAGCCACUCAGCGAUGAGGCGCUAAUCCCAUAAAGCCGGUCUCAGUCCGGAUUGCAGUCUGCAACUCGACUCCAUGAAGUUGGAAUCGCUAGUAAUCGCGGAUCAGCACGCCGCGGUGAAUACGUUCCCGGGCCUU
This 424-nucleotide ribosomal RNA is filed under the name uncultured Streptococcus sp. RNAcentral describes it as "bacterial SSU rRNA". It matches the Rfam family "Bacterial small subunit ribosomal RNA", at positions 957 to 1382 of the family's 1533-position model. Lineage: Bacteria; Bacillati; Bacillota; Bacilli; Lactobacillales; Streptococcaceae. The record is from RNAcentral.